Molecule: transfer RNA, 77 nt
Filed under: Desulfurococcales archaeon
Lineage: Archaea; Thermoproteati; Thermoproteota; Thermoprotei; Desulfurococcales
Description: tRNA-Pro
Rfam family: tRNA
About the family: Transfer RNA (tRNA) molecules are approximately 80 nucleotides in length. Their secondary structure includes four short double-helical elements and three loops (D, anti-codon, and T loops). Further hydrogen bonds mediate the characteristic L-shaped molecular structure. tRNAs have two regions of fundamental functional importance: the anti-codon, which is responsible for specific mRNA codon recognition, and the 3' end, to which the tRNAs corresponding amino acid is attached (by aminoacyl-tRNA synthetases). tRNAs cope with the degeneracy of the genetic code in two manners: having more than one tRNA (with a specific anti-codon) for a particular amino acid; and 'wobble' base-pairing, i.e. permitting non-standard base-pairing at the 3rd anti-codon position.
Source: RNAcentral
GGGGCCGUAGUCUAGCCUGGUAGGAUGCGGGCCUGGGGCGCCCGUGGUCCGGGGUUCAAAUCCCCGCGGCCCCACCA